CGUGCCGGGCCGCGCCGAGGCCCGCAUCCCGAACGCCCGGAGGGCACCAGGUCGCCCCCUGACUUAGAUGACUUAACCGCUUCCUGAAAACGCUGUCGCUGCCCCUUGGUGUCUUUGUUGGGAGUAGAGGGCCGCGGGGGAAAGGGAAUCCAGGAAGAAGAGCGCUGCUGGUAGAGGAUGGCUGGAGAGGGAACAGACAGGAGCAAGGCUUGAACACUCGUGGACCCGUCCUGCUUGGCCGUGCCCAGAGCCGGAAGUUGGGUCUUCUGAUCCUGGCUGCCAGAGGUGGAUGAAUACUGAGAAGAGCGGCCCACGCAGCCCUGGCGGGAGAUGGAAGCUAUAGGGUCACCCGGGGCCCUGGCGACCAAAGGUUUCAAGGCGGUGACCUUCUGUCUCACUAUGUAAGUGAUAAUGUUGUGUAGAGAUUAUGUCAGGGUGAUAGGAAGUUCACUCACAGGGAGAACUCUGCAUUCUGAAUUGGAAUCUCCAACAGAACUCUUCCAUCAUUCAUAAGUGCCACAAAUUUGUAAGAAAGUCAUAAGAAAUGCUGAUUCAGGCUGGUAGGCUUUGUUGACUGGACCCAGCCAUGGAAACAUUGUUAUUUUUCUUAUAGUCAUCCUCUAUGGUUAGGAGUGUGCAUCCAGAGCUCCUGAACUUUUCCUCUAAACAAACUUUCACCAGAUAGUCAUCCAUGAACCGCCUAUCAAUCAUUUUUUAGAAGAGUUCUGGUUUGCAUGCCAUUAAUAUUUCUUUUGCCUGAAAAAUACAAC
Non-coding RNA from Microcebus murinus (gray mouse lemur), 770 nucleotides. NCBI's taxonomy places the organism in Eukaryota, Metazoa, Chordata, Mammalia, Primates, Cheirogaleidae. The record is from RefSeq and is a predicted model, not a curated record.